RNAcentral lists this ribosomal RNA (489 nucleotides) under uncultured bacterium. RNAcentral's name for it is "partial 16S ribosomal RNA". It matches the Rfam family "Bacterial small subunit ribosomal RNA", at positions 30 to 506 of the family's 1533-position model. The record is from RNAcentral.
AUUGAACGCUGGCGGCAGGCUUAACACAUGCAAGUCGAGCGGUAGCACAGGGGAGCUUGCUCCCUGGGUGACGAGCGGCGGACGGGUGAGUAAUGUCUGGGAAACUGCCUGAUGGAGGGGGAUAACUACUGGAAACGGUAGCUAAUACCGCAUAACGUCGCAAGACCAAAGAGGGGGACCUUCGGGCCUCUUGCCAUCAGAUGUGCCCAGAUGGGAUUAGCUAGUAGGUGGGGUAAUGGCUCACCUAGGCGACGAUCCCUAGCUGGUCUGAGAGGAUGACCAGCCACACUGGAACUGAGACACGGUCCAGACUCCUACGGGAGGCAGCAGUGGGGAAUAUUGCACAAUGGGCGCAAGCCUGAUGCAGCCAUGCCGCGUGUGUGAAGAAGGCCUUCGGGUUGUAAAGCACUUUCAGCGAGGAGGAAGGUGGUGAGCUUAAUACGCUCAUCAAUUGACGUUACUCGCAGAAGAAGCACCGGCUAACUCCGU